UACGAAGGGUGCUAGCGUUGUUCGGAAUUACUGGGCGUAAAGCGCGCGUAGGCUGCAAGGCAAGUCAGUGGUGAAAUCCCGGAGCUCAACUUCGGAACUGCCAUUGAAACUGCUUUGCUAGAAUCUCAGAGGGGAUAGCGGAAUUCCAAAUGUAGGGGUGAAAUCCGUAGAUAUUUGGAGGAACACCGAUGGCGAAGGCGGCUAUCUGGAUGAGUAUUGACGCUGAGGCGCGAAAGCGUGGGGAUCAAACAGG
Molecule: ribosomal RNA, 253 nt
Filed under: uncultured bacterium
Lineage: Bacteria
Description: partial 16S ribosomal RNA
Rfam family: Bacterial small subunit ribosomal RNA
Source: RNAcentral